Molecule: long non-coding RNA, 1160 nt
Organism: Arvicola amphibius (Eurasian water vole)
Lineage: Eukaryota; Metazoa; Chordata; Mammalia; Rodentia; Cricetidae
Exons: 4
Source: RefSeq, a predicted model, not a curated record
AAUGCCACUACACUGACAUUUACAGUCCAUUCAAACUAAUCAUAUUUAUAACUGUCUCAAUUAUUUACUUUUUAAUAUAGAUUCCUGACCAUAAAACAGAGUUUAUGUGGAAAACUGCUAAUGAAAUGGGGUUUGUGGCAUAAGGAGCCACUGAAGCCAAUAUUUUAAAGUGGCACUUGGAAAACAGAUUACUGGUUGCUCUUUGUUUUGCUAUCCGGGCACUCCUGUUCUGACCUCUUCUGGGUGUUCGAGGUGAACCAUUAAUGGGUAUUACAGCUGUUUCUGUAAAAACGGUAAAUUAGAUAAAGAUACCAGGUUGAAACCACACACAAGCUGUGGGAACUUGUGGGAUAUGAGGCUACAGAAAGGUCAUAAAUUAUCUUCUGAAGCCAGGUCAUAGUACAUGGAGACAAACUACAUCACUGUAUUUGAAAUCCCUAUCACUGAAGUUAAUUAAAAAUUAACUAUACUUGCUUAUACUCUUGAAGGUUGCUGUCAUUUGAAUCUGGAGACAUUCAGGCCCACGUGUUAAGUCUCAGUCCCCAGCUUGCAACUAUCGGCAGAGUCUAACCAGUCCAAGGGCUCCUACAGUGCAUCUCUUGAAGGAUAACAGGAUUCCAUCCUUUCCCUGCUCUCUUUUUCAACUCCAGUAGAGGGGGAACAGUUUUACUCCACUGUGUGCACCUGCCAUAAUGUGCUCCCUCACUACAGGCUCAAAGCAAAGGGGUCAAAUCACCUGUGGACUGGAAACUCCAAAACUGCGAUGGAAACUCCCAAAAUGUGAGCUAAAAAUAAGUCGAUCACACCUCAACAGCUGAUCAUAUCAGGUAUUGUCACAGUAAAGCAGAGCUGAGAGAAAAAUGCAGAGCCCAUUUCUGACUAAUGUUUUAUCAUCCUCUCAGUUUUAGGACUGCAUCGGACCUAUAAGACAUUCAGUAAGUCACUUGUGAAGAUAGAGAAGAGCACUGCCUUGUUUAGAAUACUUACUGUAUGGUUCUCUGAGUAGUGCAGGAGGUGAGAACUUAAUAAAAUAGUCAACUACACACAACAUUAACUGAAAGGAGAUUACCAGAUCAUCUUCCAUUUGUAAUACUUCUCCUAAAAACAAAAAAGGUCCACAGUUAAAUAUUUUAAAAUUAUAUUUAACUAUUAUUUACUUA